UUGCACGCUGGCGGCAUGCCUUACACAUGCAAGUCGAACGGUAACAGGUCUUCGGAUGCUGACGAGUGGCGAACGGGUGAGUAAUACAUCGGAACGUGCCCGAUCGUGGGGGAUAACGAAGCGAAAGCUUUGCUAAUACCGCAUACGAUCUACGGAUGAAAGCAGGGGACCGCAAGGCCUUGCGCGAACGGAGCGGCCGAUGGCAGAUUAGGUAGUUGGUGGGAUAAAAGCUUACCAAGCCGACGAUCUGUAGCUGGUCUGAGAGGACGACCAGCCACACUGGGACUGAGACACGGCCCAGACUCCUACGGGAGGCAGCAGUGGGGAAUUUUGGACAAUGGGCGAAAGCCUGAUCCAGCCAUGCCGCGUGCAGGAUGAAGGCCUUCGGGUUGUAAACUGCUUUUGUACGGAACGAAAAGACUCUGGUUAAUACCUGGGGUCCAUGACGGUACCGGAAGAAUAAGCACCGGCUAACUACGUG
This 481-nucleotide ribosomal RNA is filed under the name uncultured bacterium. RNAcentral's name for it is "partial 16S ribosomal RNA". It matches the Rfam family "Bacterial small subunit ribosomal RNA", at positions 30 to 507 of the family's 1533-position model. The record is from RNAcentral.